Tinamus guttatus (white-throated tinamou) is the source of this 292-nucleotide non-coding RNA. NCBI's taxonomy places the organism in Eukaryota, Metazoa, Chordata, Aves, Tinamiformes, Tinamidae. The record is from RefSeq and is a predicted model, not a curated record.
GCAGAAUUUUUAGAGCUUAUUUGUUUUGCAGUCGACCUUAGUUUUCCAAAACUCUGCCUAGUUACCAAAUAGCAAACUUCUGAAAAGAGAAGUUCCUAUGAAUCUUCAAAGUCAUCAUCUCCCCACUUCCCCAGACCAAAAUGGAUAUACCAUGGACACAGAAACUCCUGAACAAUUUAGCAAAGCUAUCUUCGUCCCCUACGCCCCCUUUGCAGAAUGCAUAGUUUACAAUUCACUUACAAAAUAAAGAAGCGAUGCUGACCACAUAUGGGACCUUUUUUUUUUUUUUUUU